Molecule: ribosomal RNA, 253 nt
Filed under: uncultured bacterium
Lineage: Bacteria
Also listed under: 1 other name
Description: partial 16S ribosomal RNA
Rfam family: Bacterial small subunit ribosomal RNA
Source: RNAcentral
UACGUAGGUGGCGAACGUUAUCCGGAGUUACUGGGCGUAAAGGGUCCGCAGGCGGGCUGAUAAGUCUGACGUGAAAUCUUCUGGCUCAACUAGAAGGGGUCGUUGGAAACUAUCGGUCUAGCAUCCCGCAGAGGUCGGCGGAAUUCCCGGUGUAGUGGUGGAAUGCGUAGAGAUCGGGAGGAACCUCGAAAGCGAAGGCAGCCGGCUAGGCGCGGAUGGACGCUGAGGGACGAAAGCGUGGGGAGCGAACAGG